GGCGAGGUGGCAGCGUCCUAUACAUGCAAGUCGAGCGAACAGACAAGGAGCUUGCUCCUUUGACGUUAGCGGCGGACGGGUGAGUAACACGUGGGUAACCUACCUAUAAGACUGGGAUAACUUCGGGAAACCGGAGCUAAUACCGGAUAAUAUUUCGAACCGCAUGGUUCGAUAGUGAAAGAUGGUUUUGCUAUCACUUAUAGAUGGACCCGCGCCGUAUUAGCUAGUUGGUAAGGUAACGGCUUACCAAGGCGACGAUACGUAGCCGACCUGAGAGGGUGAUCGGCCACACUGGAACUGAGACACGGUCCAGACUCCUACGGGAGGCAGCAGUAGGGAAUCUUCCGCAAUGGGCGAAAGCCUGACGGAGCAACGCCGCGUGAGUGAUGAAGGUCUUCGGAUCGUAAAACUCUGUUAUUAGGGAAGAACAUACGUGUAAGUAACUAUGCACGUCUUGACGGUACCUAAUCAGAAAGCCACGGCUAACUACGUGCCAGCAGCCGCGGUAAUACGUAGGUGGCAAGCGUUAUCCGGAAUUAUUGGGCGUAAAGCGCGCGUAGGCGGUUUUUUAAGUCUGAUGUGAAAGCCCACGGCUCAACCGUGGAGGGUCAUUGGAAACUGGAAAACUUGAGUGCAGAAGAGGAAAGUGGAAUUCCAUGUGUAGCGGUGAAAUGCGCAGAGAUAUGGAGGAACACCAGUGGCGAAGGCGACUUUCUGGUCUGUAACUGACGCUGAUGUGCGAAAGCGUGGGGAUCAAACAGGAUUAGAUACCCUGGUAGUCCACGCCGUAAACGAUGAGUGCUAAGUGUUAGGGGGUUUCCGCCCCUUAGUGCUGCAGCUAACGCAUUAAGCACUCCGCCUGGGGAGUACGACCGCAAGUUGAAACUCAAAGGAAUUGACGGGGACCCGCACAAGCGGUGGAGCAUGUGGUUUAAUUCGAAGCAACGCGAAGAACCUUACCAAAUCUUGACAUCCUUUGACAACUCUAGAGAUAGAGCCUUCCCCUUCGGGGGACAAAGUGACAGGUGGUGCAUGGUUGUCGUCAGCUCGUGUCGUGAGAUGUUGGGUUAAGUCCCGCAACGAGCGCAACCCUUAAGCUUAGUUGCCAUCAUUAAGUUGGGCACUCUAAGUUGACUGCCGGUGACAAACCGGAGGAAGGUGGGGAUGACGUCAAAUCAUCAUGCCCCUUAUGAUUUGGGCUACACACGUGCUACAAUGGACAAUACAAAGGGCAGCGAAACCGCGAGGUCAAGCAAAUCCCAUAAAGUUGUUCUCAGUUCGGAUUGUAGUCUGCAACUCGACUACAUGAAGCUGGAAUCGCUAGUAAUCGUAGAUCAGCAUGCUACGUGAAUACGUUCCCCGGGUCUGUACACACGCCCGUCACACCACGAGAGUUUGUACACCCGAAGCCGGUGGAGUAACCAUUGGAGCUAGCGUCGAAGUGGACAAUGAAUUGGGGGUGAGUCGUAACAGUAGCGGUAUCGAGUCCUGGGGGGCACCCUCUCAUAUACUAUAUA
This 1517-nucleotide ribosomal RNA is filed under the name Staphylococcus sp. Its description in RNAcentral is "bacterial SSU rRNA". It matches the Rfam family "Bacterial small subunit ribosomal RNA". The record is from RNAcentral. Lineage: Bacteria; Bacillati; Bacillota; Bacilli; Caryophanales; Staphylococcaceae.